GGGUCGGUGGCGUAGUUGGUUAUCGCAUCUGUCUAACAUUCCAGUAUGGGACGUGUCCACAGAAGGUCCUCAGUUCGAACCUGGGCCGACUCA
This is a non-coding RNA of Fomitopsis serialis, 93 nucleotides long. NCBI's taxonomy places the organism in Eukaryota, Fungi, Basidiomycota, Agaricomycetes, Polyporales, Fomitopsidaceae. The record is from the annotation of a RefSeq genome assembly.